UUGGCCCAGGAAAACCUGAAUCAUCCCAGGAUGAUCACGAACAUUAUUCCCAGGCCAUGGAGUCCCAUCCUGCAUUGUCCACCCCUCUUCUGGGACCUUUUUUGCCUUGGCAACCAAAGCAUUGAUCCGAACUUUAAACUCUUCAUAUUCUCUCUUCAUUGCUCUCCGUUCCUUCACAAAUGAAGCGUGAACCUUAUCUUCCAGAUAAUCUAUCUUUUGAGCAAAAUACCACUCUGGUGCCCUUGGUUCAAUGUUAAAUUUCUUACAGAAAGGGACCCACUUUUUUGCAAAUUCUGAUGUUUCUGAUAGUGCCUCAAAUGUCAGCAUAGCAGCACCGUCAUCAGAAACAUAACAUGAGACCUUGUCAACAGGAUAAUCCACCGCAAGAAUGGACAGAACUGUGUUUGCAGUGACCAGUGGAGGUUCUUUUAAUGGAUCGACUGUACUUACAAAUAUAUCAAUUGGAGAGAGUUGAGAAGGAUGGCCUUCCUUCUCAUACCUGAGAGACAAUCGAUCCAGAUAAGUUUCUCUGUCAAUAGGGAGCCACUUUGGAAAUUGAUCAAGAAUCCAUGAAAGAGCAAACCAAAUCUCACAAAUAACAGAUAUGAGCCACAAUGCAAAUGCAUCAUUCACAGGGUGAGUGACUCGGUAAUGGAAGAAGAACCCAAGAACUACAAGUCGAAUAAUGAUGAUCAUUCGAUAAGGAUUGAUUUGGCUUGAAGGAAUAGGCAAUUUUCGGGACAAUGGCUGUCUGGCCUCAUCCAUUAGUGGUAGAUCAGGUGCAUCACCGUCAUAAUCCCAGUCUUUGCCGCCAUUUUCAUUCUCCAUCAUCUGCAGUUUUUCUUGUUUUUGUUUCCAAUUCUCCAUCCUCUCCUUCCAAGCAAUACUUCCAUAGCCAUAAGCAGCCAAGUCCUUGGAAGGAUCCAUAGAUCUGGGUUGCACAGGAAGGGUAUGAUCUGAAAAAGGUAGAGGAUGAAUUCUUUUGCCGCCACCGCCACCAUUAGACAUGAAUGAAGGGACCAAAGCAUGUUGUUCUGGAGGAAUAUCACCAACCGUUCGACCGUCAGUAAGGAGAGGAAGUUGGGGCAGAGGAUGGAGGGCUUGAUGAGGAUCAGCAUUAUCAAAUGCACGACCGUAAUGAAGUAUAGCAUCUGUAGCAAGAGGAUGCUGCAUAUUCUUUCUACCCUUUGUUGCAUCAAAAUUGAACUCAUUUUCCAAGUCAUCGAUGUCAUCUUCUUCUUCGUCUCCCUCAACUCUGGCACAGCCCUUGAGACGCUUGAAUCUAGUCUUGCACUGAGGACAGACUUGAGUUCCUUCCCUGCGCUCAUACUCAUAGCAAGUUCUGCAUAUUGGGAAGGCGCACUCAUUGCAGGCCACAAACAGCUCGCCAUCUACAGUUAGCCCCACAUCGUCUCCGCAUAUGUGACAUAUUUGCCCGCUUAACUGCUGUAACGGUUUCGGAGCAGAUUCGCCAUCUCUACGUAUGACAACAAGCUCAUUCCUAUUGUGAGAGCCGGCCACCAAGCCUGCACUAGCCUCCAUUGACCUUUCUCGCAAUGUAAUUAAAAACUGAAAAUAUCAGUACAGAUCUGUCGAAAAGAAGCCCAGCAGCAGCAGCAGCAGCGAUCUCUUGUGUUUCUACAGUUAGACCUUUUUCCUACACCUCCACUAUCUUUAUCAUUCUUUGCUUCACUUCUCAAUCAACAAUCAAACAAUUAAAAGAGCUUUCCUGAAUGACAAUUGGCAUCUUGUUUCUUCUUCAACAAAGAGUUGGUAGCUGCCACUCGUUUUCAUUUCUCACGAAUGGGCCUUUGUUGUCGUUUAUCAACAUCUCCGCCGACACUUCUAAUGGCGUCAUUAACACAGAUGCAGACGAGGGCGGCUUUGGCAUUUUUAGUAGUAAGAGGUGAAAUUAAAAUAUGCGCAAAUUGAGGAUC
This 1937-nucleotide unclassified non-coding RNA is filed under the name Hevea brasiliensis (rubber tree). The record is from RNAcentral. Lineage: Eukaryota; Viridiplantae; Streptophyta; Magnoliopsida; Malpighiales; Euphorbiaceae.